This 497-nucleotide ribosomal RNA is filed under the name uncultured bacterium. Its description in RNAcentral is "partial 16S ribosomal RNA". It matches the Rfam family "Bacterial small subunit ribosomal RNA", at positions 28 to 507 of the family's 1533-position model. The record is from RNAcentral.
GAUGAACGCUGGCGGCGUGCCUAAUACAUGCAAGUCGAGCGAACAGACGAGGAGCUUGCUCCUCUGACGUUAGCGGCGGACGGGUGAGUAACACGUGGAUAACCUACCUAUAAGACUGGGAUAACUUCGGGAAACCGGAGCUAAUACCGGAUAAUAUAUUGAACCGCAUGGUUCAAUAGUGAAAGACGGUUUUGCUGUCACUUAUAGAUGGAUCCGCGCCGCAUUAGCUAGUUGGUAAGGUAACGGCUUACCAAGGCAACGAUGCGUAGCCGACCUGAGAGGGUGAUAGGCCACACUGGAACUGAAACACGGUCCAGACUCCUACGAGAGGCAGCAGUAGGGAAUCUUCCGCAAUGGGCGAAAGCCUGACGGAGCAACGCCGCAUGAGUGAUGAAGGUCUUCGGAUCGUAAAACUCUGUUAUUAGGGAAGAACAAAUGUGUAAGUAACUAUGCACGUCUUGACGGUACCUAAUCAGAAAGCCACGGCUAGCUACGUG